This 398-nucleotide ribosomal RNA is filed under the name uncultured bacterium. RNAcentral's name for it is "bacterial SSU rRNA". It matches the Rfam family "Bacterial small subunit ribosomal RNA", at positions 358 to 773 of the family's 1533-position model. The record is from RNAcentral.
GGAAUAUUGGACAAUGGGCGAAAGCCUGAUCCAGCCAUGCCGCGUGAGUGAUGAAGGCCUUAGGGUUGUAAAGCUCUUUCAGUGGGGAAGAUAAUGACGGUACCCACAGAAUAAGCUCCGGCUAACUCCGUGCCAGCAGCCGCGGUAAUACGGAGGGGGCUAGCGUUGUUCGGAAUUACUGGGCGUAAAGCGCGCGUAGGCGGCUUUGUAAGUCAGAGGUGAAAGCCUGGAGCUCAACUCCAGAACUGCCUUUGAGACUGCAUCGCUUGAAUCAUGGAGAGGUUAGUGGAAUUCCGAGUGUAGAGGUGAAAUUCGUAGAUAUUCGGAAGAACACCAGUGGCGAAGGCGACUAACUGGACAUGUAUUGACGCUGAGGUGCGAAAGCGUGGGGAGCAAAC